This 253-nucleotide ribosomal RNA is filed under the name uncultured bacterium. RNAcentral describes it as "partial 16S ribosomal RNA". It matches the Rfam family "Bacterial small subunit ribosomal RNA", at positions 524 to 776 of the family's 1533-position model. The record is from RNAcentral.
GACGAACCGAGCGAACGUUGUUCGGAAUCACUGGGCUUAAAGGGCGCGUAGGCGGGUUCUCAAGUCCGGGGUGAAAUCCCACAGCUCAACUGUGGAACUGCCUCGGAUACUGGGAGUCUCGAGGGUGGCAGGGGUAUGCGGAACUAUCGGUGGAGCGGUGAAAUGCGUUGAUAUCGAUAGGAACUCCGGUGGCGAAGGCGGAUCUCUGGGCCGAUACUGACGCUGAGGAGCGAAAGCGUGGGGAGCGAACAGG